This 1046-nucleotide ribosomal RNA is filed under the name activated sludge metagenome. RNAcentral's name for it is "bacterial LSU rRNA". It matches the Rfam family "Bacterial large subunit ribosomal RNA", at positions 1836 to 2904 of the family's 2925-position model. The record is from RNAcentral.
AGAUGACGUAUAAGGCCUGACACCUGCCCGGUGCUGGAAGGUUAAGAGGAGAGGUUAGUCGCAAGGCGAAGCUUUGAAUUGAAGCCCCAGUAAACGGCGGCCGUAACUAUAACGGUCCUAAGGUAGCGAAAUUCCUUGUCGGGUAAGUUCCGACCUGCACGAAUGGUGUAACGAUCUGGGCACUGUCUCAGCCAUGAGCUCGGUGAAAUUGUAGUUCCGGUGAAGAUGCCGGAUACCCGCAACGGGACGGAAAGACCCCGUGCACCUUCACUAUAACUUUGCAUUGACUGUGAAUAAACGAUGUGUAGGAUAGGUGGGAGAUUGUGAAGCGGAGGCGCCAGCUUUCGUGGAAUCAACCUUGAAAUACCACCCUUUGUUUAUUUGUAGCCUAAUCCCCAACGGGAGACAUUGCAUGGUGGGUAGUUUGACUGGGGUGGUCGCCUCCAAAAGAGUAACGGAGGCUUUCAAAGGUAUGCUCAGUACGCUUGGUAACCGUACGUAGAGUGCAAUAGCAUAAGCAUGCUUGACUGUGAGACCAACAAGUCGAGCAGGGUCGAAAGACGGAUAUAGUGAUCCGGUGGUUCCGCAUGGAAGGGCCAUCGCUCAAAGGAUAAAAGGUACGCCGGGGAUAACAGGCUGAUCACUCCCAAGAGCUCACAUCGACGGAGUGGUUUGGCACCUCGAUGUCGGCUCGUCACAUCCUGGGGCUGGAGAAGGUCCCAAGGGUUCGGCUGUUCGCCGAUUAAAGUGGCACGUGAGCUGGGUUCAGAACGUCGCGAGACAGUUCGGUCCCUAUCUGUUGUGGGCGUUGGAAGCUUGAGGGCACCUGACUCUAGUACGAGAGGACCGAGUCGGACAUACCGCUAGUGUACCUGUUGUGGCGCCAGCUGCAUUGCAGGGUAGCUACGUAUGGUUGAGAUAAGCGCUGAAAGCAUCUAAGCGCGAAACUCAGCCCAAGAUGAGGCUUCCUUUAAGGGUCGUUGUAGACUACGACGUUGAUAGGCUGCAGGUGUAAAGCCAGUAAUGGCAAAGCCGAGCAGUACUAA